This 640-nucleotide ribosomal RNA is filed under the name Staphylococcus aureus. RNAcentral's name for it is "partial 23S ribosomal RNA". It matches the Rfam family "Bacterial large subunit ribosomal RNA", at positions 12 to 648 of the family's 2925-position model. Lineage: Bacteria; Bacillati; Bacillota; Bacilli; Caryophanales; Staphylococcaceae. The record is from RNAcentral.
UAAGGGCGCACGGUGGAUGCCUUGGCACUAGAAGCCGAUGAAGGACGUUACUAACGACGAUAUGCUUUGGGGAGCUGUAAGUAAGCUUUGAUCCAGAGAUUUCCGAAUGGGGAAACCCAGCAUGAGUUAUGUCAUGUUAUCGAUAUGUGAAUACAUAGCAUAUCAGAAGGCACACCCGGAGAACUGAAACAUCUUAGUACCCGGAGGAAGAGAAAGAAAAUUCGAUUCCCUUAGUAGCGGCGAGCGAAACGGGAAGAGCCCAAACCAACAAGCUUGCUUGUUGGGGUUGUAGGACACUCUAUACGGAGUUACAAAGGACGACAUUAGACGAAUCAUCUGGAAAGAUGAAUCAAAGAAGGUAAUAAUCCUGUAGUCGAAAAUGUUGUCUCUCUUGAGUGGAUCCUGAGUACGACGGAGCACGUGAAAUUCCGUCGGAAUCUGGGAGGACCAUCUCCUAAGGCUAAAUACUCUCUAGUGACCGAUAGUGAACCAGUACCGUGAGGGAAAGGUGAAAAGCACCCCGGAAGGGGAGUGAAAUAGAACCUGAAACCGUGUGCUUACAAGUAGUCAGAGCCCGUUAAUGGGUGAUGGCGUGCCUUUUGUAGAAUGAACCGGCGAGUUACGAUUUGAUGCAAGGUUA